GAUUCAUUCGGCACCACAUGCAGAUGCAUCAUGAACAAAGGUUCAUUUAUGGAUUUCUAGAAGAUAAAAAAGGAAUAUUUGUGUCUACUGGCCUGCAUUUUGCUUUAAAAUGUGUUUGCUUAUAUCAAAAAUAUUUUGGUCAAGAGAAAAGGUAGAGUUUAUCUCCUCCGUUACGUUGAAUCAAAUUUUAGUACAAAAUCAAUUGAUAUUUAGUUUGCAUCCAAAAUUUUCCUUUAGAUUGACAUAGGGUUGUUGUAAUGCAUGUAACUGGACAUGCGAAGAAACUCUUGUUCAUAUAAUUCCUUGCUUACAUUUUUCUGUCAAUUUUCCAUAUUGAUAGCUCUUGCUUGUUAAUAGAUCAUCGAGUUUCUUUGUGACAAUUGCAGUUUUGCACAUUUCUAAAUGUAUUCUCUUGAUAUGGAAGGCAUGGAGAGAAGAGAUCAAAUUUGCCUUCUCAUUCUCAUGCAACUCCUGAUAUUUGACCUAUCAGCUAUGUGCAUCUGGGCUUUCAUACAUGUUAUUUAGCUUACAGUGAGAUCUGCAUCUUUGUAUUGCAGGUGGUUGUCAAUCUGUAUUUUCUAACAACUUUGGGAAGGGUGCUCUCAGGCAAUGUUGUUCCUUAUGCUGAUAGUUCCAGUAUUCCACCACACUUGUUGAUACUACUUGUGUAGCUAGGCUUACUUCAAAAGUUCAGGUUUGUUGGCGUGUAACACCUUCUGCAUUCUCAUUUUGUUGUCAUUACUGGUUUUAAUUGUUCAUCUUCUGCCUCUACAUAUUUGCACAAAUCCCCAACUUGGUCGAUCAGCUCCCUUCUUGGGUUCCUGUAGAGGAAGAGACUCUCAUCUCCUCUUUAGCUGCAAUGGAAGGGUCAAUCUGGCCUAGGAAGUUGUGGACAUCGUAGGUGUGUCUACCUUAUCAUGGUGCGUGCAUCCAUGAUAGAGACAAGUGAAUCAAGUAAUUAAGUUUGAACUUCUUGAGUGCAUGCAGGUGCAGCAACAUCAAGGACUAUGCCACGAGGAACAGUUGAGCGGUCAUGGAAACACCGGGAUGCUUAUCAUCACCCACGAGGAUGGACACAACCACGUGCAGCUGCUCUACUUGUCGGUCCUCGCCGCAAAUUCUGAAGCCCGACCGAAGCUACGAAUGGCAGAAGACGGUAGAAGAACUCUGAUUUUUUUUGCGGGGGAACUCUGCAUUUUUAUGCCAUGAAGGAACAAGUCAUUUAGCCGCUCCUUGGUUAUUUAGUCUGACAAAAGAUCAGAAUGCAAGUGAAAAUUGUAACACCAAGGCAAAUAUUUUCCCGUUAUAUUUUUCAUGAUGUCUAAUAGAUAGUACAUGAUUGGGGUGCAAUACAUUUACCUUUUGAAAUAUUCUGUGAAUAAAAUUGCUCCAUGCGAUUGUCAAAUUGCCUCGUGUGUCUGUGUGUGUGUGUGUGUGUUUAGCAAAUUGUGAUAGCCUUGUCAAUAGGUGUCUUUGUUGCGUGUAUCUGAGAAUAAUCAUGUUAAUUUCUUGGUCCCUUCUUCCUGUUUGCAUCUUCCUGCAAUAUUUUGACUAACUACCCUAUCACACACAAAAAUAUUGCUGAGCGUGAUGGGCAUAUUAAAUAAGAU
Molecule: long non-coding RNA, 1610 nt
Filed under: Triticum aestivum (bread wheat)
Lineage: Eukaryota; Viridiplantae; Streptophyta; Magnoliopsida; Poales; Poaceae
Description: long non-coding RNA (TAES_LNC013302)
Source: RNAcentral